CGUCGACCGGCGCACGGGUGAGUAACGCGUAUCCAACCUGCCCAUCACUUGGGGAUAACCUUGCGAAAGUAAGACUAAUACCCAAUGACGUCUCUAGAAGACAUCUGAAGGAGAUUAAAGAUUUAUCGGUGAUGGAUGGGGAUGCGUCUGAUUAGCUUGUUGGCGGGGUAACGGCCCACCAAGGCGACGAUCAGUAGGGGUUCUGAGAGGAAGGUCCCCCACAUUGGAACUGAGACACGGUCCAAACUCCUACGGGAGGCAGCAGUGAGGAAUAUUGGUCAAUGGACGAGAGUCUGAACCAGCCAAGUAGCGUGCAGGAUGACGGCCCUAUGGGUUGUAAACUGCUUUUAUAAGGGAAUAAAGUGAGCCUCGUGAGGCUAUUUGCAUGUACCUUAUGAAUAAGGACCGGCUAAUUCCGUGCCAGCAGCCGCGGUAAUACGGAAGGUCCGGGCGUUAUCCGGAUUUAUUGGGUUUAAAGGGAGCGUAGGCCGGAGAUUAAGCGUGUUGUGAAAUGUAGACGCUCAACGUCUGCACUGCAGCGCGAACUGGUUUCCUUGAGUACGCACAAAGUGGGCGGAAUUCGUGGUGUAGCGGUGAAAUGCUUAGAUAUCACGAAGAACUCCGAUUGCGAAGGCAGCUCACUGGAGCGCAACUGACGCUGAAGCUCGAAAGUGCGGGUAUCGAACAGGA
RNAcentral lists this ribosomal RNA (690 nucleotides) under uncultured Bacteroidota bacterium. Its description in RNAcentral is "bacterial SSU rRNA". It matches the Rfam family "Bacterial small subunit ribosomal RNA", at positions 89 to 777 of the family's 1533-position model. Lineage: Bacteria; Pseudomonadati; Bacteroidota. The record is from RNAcentral.